UUCAUUUUCAUAAGAGUGAAUGGGAGUAAGUGAGGCCACUGCAGAAACCAGCAGGGAAUGUGAGCUGGGCACCCAGCUUAAUUACCUGGUAAUCCAGGCAGACUGAUGACGUCCCUCCAGUGCUUAAGGUAAAACUCCGGAUUGGCACUUGCGCUUUGUGAGAAAGAAAGGUAUUGUGAUAACG
RNAcentral lists this long non-coding RNA (184 nucleotides) under Fukomys damarensis (Damara mole-rat). Its description in RNAcentral is "lncRNA (ENSFDAG00000023310.1)". The record is from RNAcentral. Lineage: Eukaryota; Metazoa; Chordata; Mammalia; Rodentia; Bathyergidae.